AUACGUAGGGGGCGAGCGUUGUCCGGAAUGAUUGGGCGUAAAGGGCGCGUAGGCGGCCCGGUAAGUCUGGAGUGAAAGUCCUGCUUUUAAGGUGGGAAUUGCUUUGGAUACUGUCGGGCUUGAGUGCAGGAGAGGUAAGUGGAAUUCCCAGUGUAGCGGUGAAAUGCGUAGAGAUUGGGAGGAACACCAGUGGCGAAGGCGACUUACUGGACUGUAACUGACGCUGAGGCGCGAAAGUGUGGGGAGCAAACAGGAUUAGAUACCCUGGUAGUCCACACUGUAAACGAUGAAUGCUAGGUGUAGGGGGUAUCGACCCCUUCUGUGCCGCAGUUAACACAAUAAGCAUUCCGCCUGGGGAGUACGGCCGCAAGGUUGAAACUCAAAUGAAUUGGCGGG
This 396-nucleotide ribosomal RNA is filed under the name uncultured bacterium. RNAcentral's name for it is "partial 16S ribosomal RNA". It matches the Rfam family "Bacterial small subunit ribosomal RNA", at positions 523 to 917 of the family's 1533-position model. The record is from RNAcentral.